GGUGAACGCUGGCGGUAGGCCUAACACAUGCAAGUCGAACGGCAGCACAGUAAGAGCUUGCUCUUACGGGUGGCGAGUGGCGGACGGGUGAGGAAUACAUCGGAAUCUACUUUUUCGUGGGGGAUAACGUAGGGAAACUUACGCUAAUACCGCAUACGACCUACGGGUGAAAGCAGGGGAUCUUCGGACCUUGCGCGAUUGAAUGAGCCGAUGUCGGAUUAGCUAGUUGGCGGGGUAAAGGCCCACCAAGGCGACGAUCCGUAGCUGGUCCGAGAGGAUGAUCAGCCACACUGGAACUGAGACACGGUCCAGACUCCUACGGGAGGCAGCAGUGGGGAAUAUUGGACAAUGGGCGCAAGCCUGAUCCAGCCAUACCGCGUGGGUGAAGAAGGCCUUCGGGUUGUAAAGCCCUUUUGUUGGGAAAGAAAAGCAGCAGGUUAAUACCCCGCUGUUCUGACGGUACCCAAAGAAUAAGCACCGGCUAACUUCGUG
Molecule: ribosomal RNA, 492 nt
Filed under: uncultured bacterium
Lineage: Bacteria
Description: partial 16S ribosomal RNA
Rfam family: Bacterial small subunit ribosomal RNA
Source: RNAcentral